AAAGGUUACUGACACACCCGGCCGCUUUGCCAUGGCGCUGUGUAAGAUAGUUUUCGUGGAGAAGUCUAUCACUAAAUGUAGACGAAUAAGGAGGGAAAAUUAUGGCAAAACAAAAAAUCAGAAUCAGAUUAAAAGCUUAUGAUCACCGCGUGAUUGAUCAAUCAGCAGAGAAGAUUGUAGAAACAGCGAAACGUUCUGGUGCAGAUGUUUCUGGACCAAUUCCGUUACCAACUGAGAAAUCAGUUUACACAAUCAUCCGUGCCGUGCAUAAGUAUAAAGAUUCACGUGAACAAUUCGAACAACGUACACACAAACGUUUAAUCGAUAUUGUAAACCCAACACCAAAAACAGUUGACGCUUUAAUGGGCUUAAACUUACCAUCUGGUGUAGACAUCGAAAUCAAAUUAUAAUAGACAAUUU
RNAcentral lists this small RNA (420 nucleotides) under Staphylococcus aureus. RNAcentral describes it as "Transcript". The record is from RNAcentral. Lineage: Bacteria; Bacillati; Bacillota; Bacilli; Caryophanales; Staphylococcaceae.